Molecule: transfer RNA, 77 nt
Filed under: Pseudomonadota bacterium
Lineage: Bacteria; Pseudomonadati; Pseudomonadota
Also listed under: 1 other name
Description: tRNA-Arg
Rfam family: tRNA
About the family: Transfer RNA (tRNA) molecules are approximately 80 nucleotides in length. Their secondary structure includes four short double-helical elements and three loops (D, anti-codon, and T loops).
Source: RNAcentral
GGGCGAUUAGCUCAGAAGGACAGAGCGCUGGCCUCCGGAGCCAGAGGUCGGGGGUUCGAAUCCCCCAUCGCUCGCCA